GCAGGCUGCAACUCGCCUGCAUGAAGUCGGAAUUGCUAGUAAUCGCGGAUCAGCAUGCCGCGGUGAAUACGUUCCCGGGUCUUGUACACACCGCCCGUCACACCACGAGAGUUUGCAACACCCGAAGCCGGUGGGGUAACCCGCAAGGGGGCCAGCCGUCGAAGGUGGGGCAGAUGAUUGGGGUGAAGUCGUAACAAGGUAGCCGUAUCGGAAGGUGCGGCUGGAUCACCUCCUUUCUAAGGAA
Molecule: ribosomal RNA, 244 nt
Filed under: Thermobacillus sp. ZCTH02-B1
Lineage: Bacteria; Bacillati; Bacillota; Bacilli; Caryophanales; Paenibacillaceae
Description: partial 16S ribosomal RNA
Rfam family: Bacterial small subunit ribosomal RNA
Source: RNAcentral